UGUAUUGAUUUUUUGGUAAAAAAGGAUUAAUAUCAUAACUGUCGGGCAAUACCGACUGCGACACCAGAGGCGCCGUGAAAUAGAUAUGUUGGACCCGGGGGCAGUACCCGGCACCUCCACCAAUUUAAUUAAAGGGGGUGAAACAGGUUAGACAGUGUAUGGUAAAGAUGGUUGCUGUGUUCGGUGAGAUACCACCGUUAUCGGUUCAAAUUUAAUAAACGCAAAUGAUAAUUUUGCACCUGUUGCUUUAGCUGCUUAAUUUUUAGCAUCUUGCAACAAAAUUCAAUUCUUUGAAAUUUGGUUUUUUCAAAGUGGGGUAGGCCGCCCAGCAACAGACAGGCCUUUUU
RNAcentral lists this transfer-messenger RNA (347 nucleotides) under Alphaproteobacteria bacterium. It matches the Rfam family "Alphaproteobacteria transfer-messenger RNA". Rfam says of the family: Bacterial tmRNA, also known as 10Sa RNA or SsrA, is named for its dual tRNA and mRNA-like properties. Its role is to liberate the mRNA from a stalled ribosome. To accomplish this part of the tmRNA is used as a reading frame that ends in a translation stop signal. Lineage: Bacteria; Pseudomonadati; Pseudomonadota; Alphaproteobacteria. The record is from RNAcentral.